GGGGUCUGCUCAGGGGCCUGAAAAAUGGCUCCUAUGUUUAUAACACACCCAGUAGGAAUCUGGAGUCAUUGUGAUGAGAGGCACACAACUCAUAUGGGUCCUCCCUAUGAACAAAUUCCCUACAUCU
Molecule: small nucleolar RNA, 127 nt
Organism: Otolemur garnettii (small-eared galago)
Lineage: Eukaryota; Metazoa; Chordata; Mammalia; Primates; Galagidae
Source: Ensembl